Molecule: long non-coding RNA, 1222 nt
Organism: Brassica rapa (field mustard)
Lineage: Eukaryota; Viridiplantae; Streptophyta; Magnoliopsida; Brassicales; Brassicaceae
Source: RefSeq, a predicted model, not a curated record
UAUCUAUCUAUAAUAAUAAAAUAGAGUUUUCUCUCACCUCCUGCCUCCACAUCCUCGAGGAGAGUGGGGCUUUUGCCGACACGUGUCAGCACACCAGGGUAUUCUCUAUUUUUGCUUCCUGCCGGUCUCUACAUCUUUCAAUCAAACUGGGCUUUUAUUAUUUUGGCCCAAACUUUUGCAAACCCCUUAAAAACCAAAAUGGGAUUAGGGUUCCCCCUCCGUCUUCCUCUGCGCUGUGACAAAAGCUCAAGUCACGAUCCGAUCUACAUAACCUAUGCACCAUCCAUAACUCAGAGGUUUUGGCAAUGGCGAGAUUCAACACCGGUAAAUUCCCCACACCAUGGAGGCAAGAGAAAAUCAUAAGCUGCAUAUGAUGGUACUCCGAGAAGACUGUGUUGCUGAGUUGAACAAUUACAUAGACCCUCUCUACCGGAGAAUUUAGAUCGAAAACUUCUGACUUGCAUUUUGGAGGUUGAUGGUAAGCUGAAUCCAUGAAAGUGCAAUACCGAAUCAGGCAGGGUCUUAAGAAAGCUGAUUAGCAGAGCAUACUUGAUGAUUUAAACAAGCAGGACCCAGGGUUCACACAGCCCUCUGUUUCAGGGGCAAGGCCACAAGUGGUUCCAACCAACCUGCACUGCCGCUGGUAAUCACUAAUCCGGAAUGUGUCGAUUUUGGCCUAAUUAGAGGUCUUCGUCCAAAAUCACAUUUUGGGUUCAAGUUUGGUACCAUGCAUGCUGGUACUGGUCAGUAGGAAGACUUUGGACGCUAUAAUGUUGUUAAUGAGCUCGAGAUUCUGAAACGGUCGACCAUGAAUCCUUUGGUGUUGUGUGCCACAUCUGGCAGUGACCUACAAUAUAACGCAGUACAGUGGUGUUAGGAAACUGGAGACUGUUACAGUGACGGAGGUGAAUGCCUACGUUCUGAACUCGCCCCUAAGAAGAUUUACUGAUUCAAAGGGGUCAGCCGGUCAGGAAACCCAACAAGAAAGGCCCGAAGAGCUUAGUUUCCGUCAUGGAGCACUGUCAUGAAACCACUCUAUCGUUACUCCCAAUGCUUAAUAUUAUUUCUAUAAAUCUUAUGCUAUGCAAAUAAGGGAUUGGGCACUUAGGCGUUUUUGUCUCACUUCUAAUUUUGAUACUUCCUGAAUUUUUUUGCUUUUUUAAAUAUGAAUUCUUCUUAGUUUCCACAUAAAAUCAAAUGUCCAGCCUUUGUUAUUUAUCUA